RNAcentral lists this transfer RNA (69 nucleotides) under Marmota monax (woodchuck). Its description in RNAcentral is "tRNA.Ala". Lineage: Eukaryota; Metazoa; Chordata; Mammalia; Rodentia; Sciuridae. The record is from RNAcentral.
GGAAUGUGGUUCAAGCGGUAGCGCACUUGCCUGGCAUGUAUGGGGCACUGGGUUCGAUCCUCAGCACCA